Molecule: small RNA, 744 nt
Filed under: Pan troglodytes (chimpanzee)
Lineage: Eukaryota; Metazoa; Chordata; Mammalia; Primates; Hominidae
Description: processed transcript
Source: RNAcentral
CUCCAAAACGACAUGGAUCACAUCUGGUUUUGCUCCCAGUUUUAUCCCUCACACCUAGCGUAGUGGUUGGCAAAUACUGAGACUCUGUGUAACAUGGACUUGGGAGGCAGCCAAUCUGAAUUUGAAUCUUGGCUCUUCUCUUCACUAACUGUGUUUGACUCUGGACAAAUUACUUUACUUCUUCUUGCCUAAUUGACUUCAUCUGGAAAUGACAGGAAACAAACUAGAUAUAACAACAGAGAAGACCAUUUUACAUGGAGGCAUGAAAACUUUGAAUGUUGUUACCACAAGCAGUCACCCAGUUUGAAGAAUUGGUUGGUAUGGCCGAGGCUCUGCUUAAGGGUGGGGGAAGCAUGUCUACAUCUGCAUCCACCCUCUGGAGAGCAACAAACAACUCCUCGCCAGAUUCAUUUGCCUCAACAUGCAGUAAUUCUAAUUCUAACUCCAGUUCACCAGUUUCCUUAAAGCCUGAGGAAGAGCAUCAGACUGAUGAGAAACAGUUCCAGAUUGAAAAAUGGCAGAUUGCCCGUUGUAACAAGAGCAAGCCUCAGAAGUUUAUUAAUGAUUUAAUGCAAGUACUUUACACAAAUGAAUACAUGGCCACUCACAGCCUGACAGGGGCAAAAUCCUCUACUUCAAGGGACAAAGCUGUAAAACCAGCUAUGAAUCAGAAUGAAGUCCAAGAAAUCAUAGGAGUAACAAAACAAUUAUUUCCCAAUACGGAUGAUGUUUCAAUUAGGAGAA